This 301-nucleotide ribosomal RNA is filed under the name uncultured bacterium. RNAcentral describes it as "partial 16S ribosomal RNA". It matches the Rfam family "Bacterial small subunit ribosomal RNA", at positions 509 to 807 of the family's 1533-position model. The record is from RNAcentral.
CAGCCGCCGCGGUAAAACGAAGGGGGCUAGCGUUACUCGGAAUUACUGGGCGUAAAGGGCGCGUAGGCGGCACGAUUAGUCAGGCGUGAAAUUCCUGGGCUCAACCUGGGGACUGCGCUUGAUACGGUCGAGCUAGAGGAUGGAAGAGGGUCGUGGAAUUCCCAGCGUAGAGGUGAAAUUCGUAGAUAUUGGGAAGAACACCGGUGGCGAAGGCGGCGACCUGGUCCAUUACUGACGCUGAGGCGCGACAGCGUGGGGAGCAAACAGGAUUAGAUACCCCUGUAGUCCCUGUCUCUUAUAC